UACGAAGGGUGCAGGCGUUACUCGGAAUUACUGGGCGUAAAGCGUGCGUAGGUGGUUUGUUAAGUCUGUUGUGAAAGCCCCGGGCUCAACCUGGGAAUGGCAAUGGAUACUGGCAGGCUAGAGUGCGGUAGAGGGUAGUGGAAUUCCCGGUGUAGCGGUGAAAUGCGUAGAGAUCGGGAGGAACACCAGUGGCGAAAGCGGCGCACUGGACCACAACUGACGCUGAGGCGCGAAAGCUAGGGGAGCAAACAGG
Molecule: ribosomal RNA, 253 nt
Filed under: uncultured bacterium
Lineage: Bacteria
Description: partial 16S ribosomal RNA
Rfam family: Bacterial small subunit ribosomal RNA
Source: RNAcentral